CUCAAAAUUCUCUCUUCUACUCAUUUCUCAUCAUCAUCUUCUUCUUCUUCUUCUUCUUCUCUCUCUCUCUCUCUCUCAUUCCAAUUACAAAAGUCAGACCAUUUUUCUCUCCAUUUCCUCUCAAAAUUUCGUGCUCCCUCUCUCUCUCUAAGGAAAGAAAAAGACUCCAUUGAAGCUCCUAAGCUUAUUUUGAAGAAACAAGUCACAAAAGAGAACUUAGGAGUGUUGCAUGCAAGAUCCAAGAGCUUCUAUGACAGCUUUGAACAUUAACAAGAGGUAUUGGGGAGAUGUUAGAAGUUGGAAAGCAUUUGGGAAGCUUAGAGCCAAACCCUAGAAGCUAAACUCAAAGCUUGAAUACAAGGUAA
Molecule: long non-coding RNA, 365 nt
Organism: Humulus lupulus (European hop)
Lineage: Eukaryota; Viridiplantae; Streptophyta; Magnoliopsida; Rosales; Cannabaceae
Exons: 3
Source: RefSeq, a predicted model, not a curated record